GGGUUAAAAUGCAUAUUUUGAUCAUUUUACAUGUGCAUGCAUUGAGAAUUUUAGCAAACAAAUGAUCUAUGAUGCAUUUUGAGUGAUUGGGGUACAAAUGGUAAUUUUUCAAAAUUGGCUUUCUGCAAAAAUUUCGCAGAAGAAAACGCACUUGGGCUGAAAACGCGCCUUAGAAUCGCGUUUUCCAUAAUCGCGUUUUAAAUUCUGCGCCUAUACUGAAGAAAACGCGACUUCAAAACGCGACAGGAAGUCGCGUUUUCUACCAAGUCGCGUUUUCCAGCCUGUUCAGAAACCAAAAACGCGACUUCAAAUACGCGACUCAAAGUCGCGUUUUUAAGCAUAGUCGCGUUUUCGAUCCUGCAAGAUAUGUGAAGAAACGCGACUUCAUAAAACGCGGCUUGGUGGCGCGUUUUGAUGAGUCGCGUUUUCGGAGAAAAAAAAAAUGCAGAUUCCUUGAUUCUCUUUUUUCUUCUUUUCCUCAUAUAUUUUCUUGUACCUUGAGUUGCUUAUUGUAUAUUGUAUAUAGGUACAUCACCAAAACAAAGGUUUGAAAUUACGGAUCGCCGUUUUGUUUUAUUAAGCCUUUGUUAUCACUUUUGUUUCUUAUUUUUCAUUUUUAGGAUUACAUCACUAAUGGUUAUCCAAUGAAACUCAUGAAGCGUUGGAGAUACACGGACAAUGGAUUUUGAAGCUUCAUAUUCAAUCACAUCAUAGGGGAGUAUUACUUUCUUUAUCUUGAUUUUCCUUUUUACACAUUGAGGACAAUGUGUAUGUUAAGUGUGGGGGGAGAAUUGAGAUUAUAUACAUUGUAUGUGAUUGAAUUAUUAGUUGCAAAUAUUGGACUUGUGUUAAAAUUCAAAAUUUUUCUAAAAUCUUGUCCAAAAUUGCAAACUUGCCCCAAAAAGUUUCAUAUUUUUUCAAUUUUAUCCAAGGGGUAACAAGUUUCAUACCAUUAGUAGUUCAAAUUCCUUCUACAUUUGAGAUAAAUAUAUGUGAUUUGGAAACUUCUUUUCUCAUUUAACUUGGAAAUGACUAUUAUGUGAUUAUAAUUUUUGCAUUUGUAGGAAAGU
Molecule: long non-coding RNA, 1070 nt
Filed under: Coffea arabica (coffee)
Lineage: Eukaryota; Viridiplantae; Streptophyta; Magnoliopsida; Gentianales; Rubiaceae
Description: long non-coding RNA (CARA_LNC008001)
Source: RNAcentral